CAUGUUUGAAGGAAAGUGCUGUAUUUUCUGAACAUCAGUCAGGAGGAUUUCGUUUCAGGACUACCAGCCCAGGGGUGAUGUCAGCGAGACCUGGUGGUGCCUGGUACACCACAGGAAGCAGAGAAAGGGGAUUGCAAGUGCUCAGUGUGGCCUUGAAAUGGGUGUGUCACUGUGGAUAUGG
This is a long non-coding RNA of Mus musculus (house mouse), 181 nucleotides long. RefSeq annotates it as predicted gene, 34873. The transcript is spliced from 3 exons. Lineage: Eukaryota; Metazoa; Chordata; Mammalia; Rodentia; Muridae. The record is from RefSeq and is a predicted model, not a curated record.